CUACGUGCCAGCAGCCGCGGUAAUACGUAGGUGGCAAGCGUUGUCCGGAUUUAUUGGGCGUAAAGCGAGCGCAGGCGGUUCCUUAAGUCUGAUGUGAAAGCCCCCGGCUCAACCGGGGAGGGUCAUUGGAAACUGGGGAACUUGAGUGCAGAAGAGGAGAGUGGAAUUCCAUGUGUAGCGGUGAAAUGCGUAGAUAUAUGGAGGAACACCAGUGGCGAAGGCGACUCUCUGGUCUGUAACUGACGCUGAGGCUCGAAAGCGUGGGUAGCAAACAGGAUUAGAUACCCUGGUAGUCCACGCCGUAAACGAUGAGUGCUAAGUGUUGGAGGGUUUCCGCCCUUCAGUGCUGCAGUUAACGCAUUAAGCACUCCGCCUGGGGAGUACGACCGCAAGGUUGAAACUCAAAGGAAUUGACGGGGGCCCGCACAAGCGGUGGAGCAUGUGGUUUAAUUCGAAGCAACGCGAAGAACCUUACCAGGUCUUGACAUCCCGAUGCUAUUUCUAGAGAUAGGAAGUU
Molecule: ribosomal RNA, 517 nt
Filed under: uncultured bacterium
Lineage: Bacteria
Description: bacterial SSU rRNA
Rfam family: Bacterial small subunit ribosomal RNA
Source: RNAcentral